Molecule: ribosomal RNA, 468 nt
Filed under: uncultured bacterium
Lineage: Bacteria
Description: partial 16S ribosomal RNA
Rfam family: Bacterial small subunit ribosomal RNA
Source: RNAcentral
GACGAACGCUGGCGGCGUGCUUAACACAUGCAAGUCGAACGGAAAGGCCCUGCUUUUGUGGGGUGCUCGAGUGGCGAACGGGUGAGUAACACGUGAGUAACCUGCCCUUGAAUUUGGGAUAACUUCAGGAAAAUGGGGCUAAUACCGGAUAGGAGCUCCUGCUGCAUGGUGGGGGUUGGAAAGUUUCGGCGGUUGGGGAUGGACUCGCGGCUUAUCAGCUUGAUGGUGGGGUAGUGGCUUACCAAGGCUUUGACGGGUAGCCGGCCUGAGAGGGUGACCGGCCACAUUGGGACUGAGAUACGGCCCAGACUCCUACGUGAGGCAGCAGUGGGGAAUAUUGCACAGUGGGCGGAAGCCUGAUGCAGCAACGCCGCGUGCGGGAUGACGUCCUUCGGGUUGUAAACCGCUUUCGCCUGUGACGAAGCGUGAGUGACGGUAAUGGGUAAAGAAGCACCGGCUAACUACGUG